GGCCUUGUCGUCUAGUCUGGUCUAGGACGUCGGGUUUUCAUCCCGAAAAUCACGGGUUCAAAUCCCGUCGAGGCCGCCU
Molecule: transfer RNA, 79 nt
Filed under: Candidatus Wildermuthbacteria bacterium RIFCSPHIGHO2_02_FULL_47_12
Lineage: Bacteria; Candidatus Wildermuthiibacteriota
Description: tRNA-Glu
Rfam family: tRNA
About the family: Transfer RNA (tRNA) molecules are approximately 80 nucleotides in length.
Source: RNAcentral